RNAcentral lists this ribosomal RNA (402 nucleotides) under uncultured prokaryote. Its description in RNAcentral is "bacterial SSU rRNA". It matches the Rfam family "Bacterial small subunit ribosomal RNA", at positions 355 to 774 of the family's 1533-position model. The record is from RNAcentral.
UAGGGAAUAUUAGAAAUGGACGAAAGUCUGAUCUAGCAACACCGCGUGUGCGAAGAAGGCCUUCGGGUUGUAAAGCACUUUUUGGAAGGAUUAGGAAGGAAUGUACUUCCAGAAUAAGUCUCGGCUAACUACGUGCCAGAAGCCGCGGUAACACGUAGGAGGCAAACGUUAUACGGAGUUACUGGGCGUAAAGCGCGUGUAGGUGGUGCUGUAAGUAGGGCGUGAAAGCUCCGGGCGCAACGGGGAGAGUCCGUUCUAAACUGCAGAGCUAGAGGAGGGUAGAGGGAGGUGGAAUUCCGGGUGUAGCGGUGGAAUGCGCAGAUAUCCGGAGGAACACCAGUGGCGAAAGCGGCCUCCUGGACCAUUCCUGACACUCAGACGCGAAAGCUAGGGUAGCAAACG